UCUGGUUGAUCCUGCCAGUAGUUAUAUGCUUGUCUCAAAGAUUAAGCCAUGCAUGUCUAAGUACACACGAAUUAAAAGUGAAACCGCAAAAGGCUCAUUAUAUCAGUUAUGGUUCCUUAGAUCGUUAACAGUUACUUGGAUAACUGUGGUAAUUCUAGAGCUAAUACAUGCAAUUAAAACAUGAACCUUAUGGGACAUGUGCUUUUAUUAGGCUAAAACCAAGCGAUCGCAAGAUCGUUAUAUUGGUUGAACUCUAGAUAACAUGCAGAUCGUAUGGUCUUGUACCGACGACAGAUCUUUCAAAUGUCUGCCCUAUCAACUUUUGAUGGUAGUAUCUAGGACUACCAUGGUUGCAACGGGUAACGGGGAAUCAGGGUUCGAUUCCGGAGAGGGAGCCUGAGAAACGGCUACCACAUCUAAGGAAGGCAGCAGGCGCGUAAAUUACCCACUCCCAGCUCGGGGAGGUAGUGACGAAAAAUAACAAUACAGGACUCAUAUCCGAGGCCCUGUAAUUGGAAUGAGUACACUUUAAAUCCUUUAACAAGGACCAAUUGGAGGGCAAGUCUGGUGCCAGCAGCCGCGGUAAUUCCAGCUCCAAUAGCGUAUAUUAAAGUUGUUGCGGUUAAAACGUUCGUAGUUGAACUUGUGCUUCAUACGGGUAGUACAACUUACAAUUGUGGUUAGUACUAUACCUUUAUGUAUGUAAGCGUAUUACCGGUGGAGUUCUUAUAUGUGAUUAAAUACUUGUAUUUUUUCAUAUGUUCCUCCUAUUUAAAAACCUGCAUUAGUGCUCUUAAACGAGUGUUAUUGUGGGCCGGUACUAUUACUUUGAACAAAUUAGAGUGCUUAAAGCAGGCUUCAAAUGCCUGAAUAUUCUGUGCAUGGGAUAAUGAAAUAAGACCUCUGUUCUGCUUUCAUUGGUUUUCAGAUCAAGAGGUAAUGAUUAAUAGAAGCAGUUUGGGGGCAUUAGUAUUACGACGCGAGAGGUGAAAUUCUUGGACCGUCGUAAGACUAACUUAAGCGAAAGCAUUUGCCAAAGAUGUUUUCAUUAAUCAAGAACGAAAGUUAGAGGUUCGAAGGCGAUCAGAUACCGCCCUAGUUCUAACCAUAAACGAUGCCAGCUAGCAAUUGGGUGUAGCUACUUUUAUGGCUCUCUCAGUCGCUUCCCGGGAAACCAAAGCUUUUGGGCUCCGGGGGAAGUAUGGUUGCAAAGCUGAAACUUAAAGGAAUUGACGGAAGGGCACCACCAGGAGUGGAGCCUGCGGCUUAAUU
Molecule: ribosomal RNA, 1272 nt
Filed under: Drosophila melanogaster (fruit fly)
Lineage: Eukaryota; Metazoa; Arthropoda; Insecta; Diptera; Drosophilidae
Description: SSU rRNA
Rfam family: Eukaryotic small subunit ribosomal RNA
Source: RNAcentral